RNAcentral lists this ribosomal RNA (300 nucleotides) under Triticum aestivum (bread wheat). RNAcentral describes it as "partial small subunit ribosomal RNA". The record is from RNAcentral. Lineage: Eukaryota; Viridiplantae; Streptophyta; Magnoliopsida; Poales; Poaceae.
AUGGCGGACGAUAGAGCCGAGCCGCUUAGGGAUCCGGAGGCUGAACGUUAUUUAAUGGGCAUCAUAAACAACGAGAUUCCUUAUGUGCCGGGCUCAGAAUAUGAGCAAGAAGAGGAUGUAGUCUCUUCUUUUCUGAACCUUAACGGUGGAACAGACAUUAUCGAUGAUCAAGAAGGUGAAGAAACGGACAUUGUCGACGGAGGUCAACCGUCAACAAACGACGAUCUCGAAUUGCAAGUAGCAACCACCUCCGGCGAGGUAUAUAUAUACAUUGAGCCUCUCGUGAUACAAACUUACUGA